Gordionus sp. m RMFG-2023 is the source of this 1242-nucleotide RNA transcript. It is a transcript of the gene named putative histone H1.6, with no coding region annotated. The record is from RefSeq and is a predicted model, not a curated record. The transcript is spliced from 4 exons. Lineage: Eukaryota; Metazoa; Nematomorpha; Gordioida; Chordodea; Parachordodidae.
GUGAAAUAAAGUUAUUUUUGAUUAUUUAUAAAUUAUUUUAUUAAAAUUAAUCUAGUAAACUUUAAAAAUAAGAACGCAAAGUGGUAUUUUAUUUUUUACUUCAGCUACAAUUAUAAGGAUUGGCUCUACUGAAUAUGGCUAUUGAAACGAAUGCUAUCAAUGGAGAAACUAACAAUUCCCAUGCAAAUGCCUCCAAUUCACCAACUUGCGCCGAUAAUAAAUCCAAAACGUUGAAAAGUGUCAAUGAUAAGAAAAAUAAGAGUAAAUUUAUUCAUGGUGGAAGCAGAAAGAAACCUAAUGUGAAUAGACUGAGUUCCAAUUUAAAAUCUAAGAAGCCUAGUACUAAAGCUAAACAUAACGAUGAUAGCGUUGAUAAUAAUGAAGUUACAUUUAAUGUGGGUAAUACUAAUGGUAAUAAAAUAACUCAUUCUAGUGCAACCAAAUCCAAAAAAAAUUUGAAUAGAAAAAGAGUUGCGAUAAAAACUAAAGCGAUUAAAAAAGAUAGCACUACUUAUCAUCCACCAUACAACACAAUGAUUCUACAAGCUGUUAGUGAUCUCUUGGAAAAAGGUGGAGCCUCGAUUUCUAAGCAAGCCAUAGUUAAAUAUAUUCUUCAGAAUUAUGAAUUGGGAAUAGACAUGAAAUCUAUUAACUCUCGCAUGAAAAUAGCUAUAAAGCGAUGCGUGGAAAGCCAGACAAUUAAACAGAUUAGUGGAAGUGGCGCAACGGGUUCUUUUAGGCUUAAUGACUCAAAACCAGUUCAACCCCAUUACAGCAGUAGCUCACGAGGGAAAAUGACUUUAUCCUCUCCAAAAAAAGUUGUUAAAAAGCCCAAAAAAUUAUCCCCAUCGAAACCGAUUCCUGUGGUGGAUAAAACUCAAAACUCUUCUCGUAUUAGUAACCUUUCAAAAUCAUCAAAAUUUACUAAAAAUAAGAGUAAAAGGAAAUCUAAUACCAAAGUGACUAUUAAAAGUAGUAAUACUCUCCAGAAAUCAACCAAAUCAGCUGGGAAAGACAAAAAACACCCUUCAAAAUCGAAUAAAUCAAGAAAAUAACAAAAAUCAUUAUUUGAUUAGCAUAUUUUUAAAUUAUUCUAUGGAGACCUUAUUAAAUUUUAUGGGUUAGUAUAAUAUUUAAAAAUUAGAAAAACAACCUUAAUGAAUUAAGCCUUAUAAGUCAAUGAAUAAUUGAUAUAAUACUGUUUGUUUUAAUAGUUUUCUGAAAAUCCAACAUGAUAUGGAA